CGCGUAGGCGGUUUGUUAAGUCGGAUGUGAAAGCCCCGGGCUCAACCUGGGAACUGCACCCGAUACUGGCCGACUAGAGUACGAGAGAGGGAGGUAGAAUUCCACGUGUAGCGGUGAAAUGCGUAGAUAUGUGGAGGAAUACCGGUGGCGAAGGCGGCCUCCUGGCUCGAUACUGACGCUGAGGUGCGAAAGCGUGGGGAGCAAACAGGAUUAGAUACCUGGUAGUCC
This 228-nucleotide ribosomal RNA is filed under the name uncultured bacterium. RNAcentral's name for it is "partial 16S ribosomal RNA". It matches the Rfam family "Bacterial small subunit ribosomal RNA", at positions 568 to 796 of the family's 1533-position model. The record is from RNAcentral.